Molecule: non-coding RNA, 88 nt
Organism: Cordylochernes scorpioides
Lineage: Eukaryota; Metazoa; Arthropoda; Arachnida; Pseudoscorpiones; Chernetidae
Source: the annotation of a GenBank genome assembly
UAAUAGAUUGUAGCUUAGUCGGGAAAGCGUUAGAUUGAAUAUCUAAAAGUCCCUGGGGUUCGAAGCCGGGUUUCGGUAUCUUUAUUAA